Long non-coding RNA from Felis catus (domestic cat), 7453 nucleotides. RefSeq lists it as uncharacterized. The record is from RefSeq and is a predicted model, not a curated record. The transcript is spliced from 3 exons. Lineage: Eukaryota; Metazoa; Chordata; Mammalia; Carnivora; Felidae.
CCUAGGUCCCCAGAGCUUGGGGGGAGGAGACGCUGGGAGGAGACCCUGGGACUCAGAGCUAAGAACCCAGGCGGCAGAGAGGCACGGGAACUGGGCGUUCAGAGUUUGUAGACACGCGAAGUAGGGAGUCGGGAGGCUGGGCUGAGGGCGGGGAGGGAGGGGACAGGCCGGUCCCUGCCUCAGCCGAGGGCCCUGCAGUUGGUGCGGUCUCUGGGGUCCCGGCUGGCCGGCCCGCAGUGGCUGCUCCUUGCUGUCUGGCCCACCGCUAACUUCUCCCAGCGGACCCAUGGAACUCGUCACGUUGGUGAGGCGCUGCGCUGGGGCCCUGGGGGCCUGACCCUGCUCCAGCCGCCCUGCCGCAGGGCCCCCACUGCCCGGGGCUUGGAGUGGAGACAGAUCCGAGAACACCGCUGCUCACCCGGGGCGCCACAGGGGCAGUGCUGGUGCAGUGGACUACUAUGUACUAAUCUACAGCCUAAAAUCCUUCCAUGGCUCCUUCUGGCCUUCAGAGUAGAGUCCAAGCUCCUCACCAUGGCACAGAAAGUCCUGAGCGACCUGGCUACUGCCCGUGUCUACAGCCUUUCACCCUCUGCCUGAAACGCCGACACAAAAUUUACACAAAGGGAGUAUGUAAGAGACCACAGAUACAAGGAAAGAGAAGCCAGGAGACAGGUAAAAGCUGUGCCAGUGGUUCAGAAUGGGUGCUGGCAGGGGACAAGAAAAGCAAGAAGAUACAUGAAGAGAGACAGAUGGAAAGACCUACAGGCUCCUGACAAUCAGGAGGCAGGCUUGGAGCCAGUCACUGCUGAAGGUGAUGGGGUCAGACAGACAGUUCUGGAGCUGUGCUGGACCUGAAAGGGGCCCCCUGUUCCUGAAUCCCAUUCCAGGCAACAGGAGGCCCAGCCGUAAGGCAGUUUCUGGUUUCCCAAGUCUCUCUUACAUUCUUGCAAUAACUUCCCAUGACUUGAGGUGGCCCGAGUGAACCCCAAGCAUGAAACAAUACAGAUGGCAACUGAAGCCACGGAUGGGGGUGUCAAUCUCCCACAGAACGUGUACGGAAAGAGAAGACUGUCCAGGAUGGAGCCCUAGCGAAUGCUGACUCUGAAAUCAAGGACGCUGAGAAAGAGAAUGAGAGAGACUGGCGAGCGAAAUCAGAAGAACGCCAGAAAUUACUGACUCCGAAGCCCGAGCAGGAAAAGCUUCAAAGAGGAAGGAGUAGUCAACAGAAAGCAUGUUUCUGAGAGGUCAGGAAACAUGUGUCCACUGGAUUUGGCAGCCUUGAGUCCACAGGAUGAAGUCCAAGCUCCUUGACGUGACCUUUAUACCAAAGACCUGUCACAAGACCCUUCACCGUCUGUCCUCUGCCUACUCAGCCUCGUCUGCAGCCCUUGCCCCCCACAUACAUGCAGGCCAGCCCCAUCGCUUGUGGGGCCAGGGACAAAAUUUCAAAUGGAAGUCCAGAUACCACAUGUCUGAAUCUUGGAUUCUAAAUAUUUGAGAAUUAUAAAUCAAGGUACCAAGCUGUCAAAUAAAAAUAUAUUCUCUUCUCCCUUGAAAAACCACCUGGGGACCCAGGUUUGAAUUUAGAAUCCGGCCUCCUGCAGAUCUGUGCCGAGCCGUGGUGCUGUGAGGAGAGACAGCCCCAGCCCGGCUCCUUUCUCUCUCCACUCCCGUCCCCAACCCACGCCACGAGAAGCCUUGUGCACACGUGAGCAGACUCCCCAGCCCGCACCUCCACCUCCCUGCAAACAGCCCUCCUUGAGCUUAGGGGUCUGCACAGGGAGGUGGAUUCUGUCUUUAGGAGGAAGGAAGUGGCCUGACCACUGCUAGUGCAAGAAAUUCUGAGGUCUCUAGCAGCUGGUAAUGGUCUAGCGCCUGGGGAUGGGCCUGCGGGGGGCAGCUCCCUCUUGGCCUGCUUACUCCUCUUCACUCCAUGGUAGGGCUGUGGCAGGAGGAGAACCAGGUGCCCUCCCGCCCCGGUACAGGGGCACUGCACUCAUGUCACACACCAGUUAUACUGAAUUAUUUUUAAUUCACCAACUGUACCACACUCACUACCAGUGCUCUUCUCUGUGCCCCAAACUUCAUCUACGAUCUCCAAGAGGCUGAGACGGGCAGCUGGUUAGGGUCCAAGGCAAAUUAAGUGUCCUGGAGGCUGAGAAAUGGGGUGGCUGGACCUUCCCACCCAAGUGGCACUUGCCCUGUGCCCAGGCCCCGUGCUCUCCCUGACGCACUCACUCCUGGGCCCUUGCCUGGCUGAAUCUCGCUUCUCAGAAGGGGACCGUCACCUGCAGGGGGAGCACACUGUGUCCAGCGUCGCCACGUGUACUGUCUUGCUCGCUCCUGAGGGCAGUCUGACAGGGAGCCACACGGGGAAGCUUUUCCUGUCCCCACUGUACAGAAGAGGAAAAACGAACCCCGAAGAUAUGGGCUGAGGCAGAGGAAUCAUCGUUCCCAACACCGUACCCAGCACUGCUUUGCCAACCUUGCCCGCACCAAAGGAGUUUGGGGGGGGGGGGUGAGGACGGCUGUGAGGACAGCCAUGAGGACAGCACUCCUUCACGUCACCGAACUAUCAUUUACAUAAUAGACCCCUCAGGUUAUAUUUGGGUUUGGCCUUAUUAAAUAACAGUCUAAUAACAAUCUUUGUGUGCCGAUCUGUCCUUCCUUUGGGUAAUGGCUAUUGGUGCCAAAUGUCAUUUCCUUUCCAAAAAUCUUGUCCCCGUUUAUACUCCGACCAGUAGCCUCUGAGAGCACCUGUCACUGAACGCUUGCCAGAAUCACGUAUGCUCAUUUAAACAUGUUCUUUAAAGAUGUGGUGGGUGAUAAUGGCAUCCUGUUGUCUUCACAUGAAUUUCUCUGACUGCCGGAAGGUUAAACAUAUUUUUGUUACUAGUUAUAUUUCCUUCUGUGUGAUCUGCUCAGUCUCCUGCCCUUUAUCUGCUGGGGUCCUAAUGGUUUUCUGGUCAACUUUCAUAACAAUAACCAUUUGUCUGUCAUAUUUCCCAAACACACUUUCCAAGGCUCUGUGGCAUCCAGUCUCUUCAUUGUUGUGAAUUCAGUUUGAAUUUUCAUAUAUUAUUAAGUCUCAUUUCUCCUAGCGCGUCCACCCCUUGAAAGUUCUUUUCCCUCCGGGGAUGUGAUUUCUAUUCUACUUACUUCAAAGUUCCCUUUGGUUGUAUUUUUAUAUUUUACUUUUUAGUCCAUUUGGAAUUUAUCUUGAUGUGUGCUUUGAGGAGAGGGUCAAAAAAAACCGUUUUGAAAGCUAUAUUUGGCAAAAGCAAUGGACAGAAAUAGGAGUCGGCUUGGGGCCGACUUCAUGAGGUUGACAGACAACUGAAAGAGGCAAAGCGCCAGGCACCGUGCAGUUCUCAUUUUUUUUAUCAAGGACAGUGAUCUUGACCUGCAAAAAGAAGAUCAAACAUGGCUAAAGGAAAGAGAGGCCCCAGAGAAGCAAGAGGAGAGCAAGGGUCUGGAUCUAAAAGAACGACCUCCCAGGGCCAUGAAAGGGGGAGGCAGCCCAGCCAAGAGGAAAGAGUCCUGACUGAGGGUCAGAAGACUUGGGUUGGAAUCCUGACUCUUCCAGAGGUUCCUGCCUUACUCUGGGCCUCAGUUUCCACAUGUAUUUAUUCAUUUAUGUGUGGCCAACUGUGUUUAAGACAUUGCUGGAGACGAUGGACUUACGGAGACAAACCCCAUGGUCCCAGUCCUCUGGGGGCUCGGAAGAGUUGGCAGGGCAGUGACCCCUCAGGCGUAACAGAGGGAGGAGUGUUUCGGUGGGGACUCUGAAGAGAGGCAUCUAUGACAGCCUCACGAAGGGGAGCAGGUGAGGCGAGGAGGUGGUAUAUAGGAUCUCUCUAUUCCGGGACAGCCAGAGUGGAGGGUGUAUGUUGGGUGCAAGAAAGAGGGGCAAGGACAAGGAACGGGUCGGCAGGGGCCAGGUCAUGGGCGCUAUGCCACAGAGCCUGGUUUUAUCCUGCAGGCCAGUGGUUCUCACAGCUGAGCCUGUAUCCAAACCUCCUGGAGGGCUCAUUACAACAGAUGGCUGGGCCCGCCCCCAGAGGUUCUGAUUCACCAGGCCAAAGGUGGGGCUCCAAAUGCAUUUCUGACAAGUUUCUAGGUGAUACCCACGUGUGGGCAUAAGAAGGCCCUUUGAGAGUGGCAACAUGUAGGCAAAGGGAACCAUUAAGCAGGAGAAGGAACCAGCCAGAGGGACACUUGAGGAGGAUUCUUUUGGACACAGAUUUGGAGAACAGACUGGAAGGUGACUGGACUGAAGGCAGGGAGAUAGGAAGCUGCUGAAAUAAGGUAAGUGAGGUUAUUUUUAAAGGGGGGAAAUCCCAGAUUUGGAGACUGAAUGAAUACAGAAGGCAAAGGAGAAGGAGGAAUGAAGCAUGCCUCCCAGGAGUUUGGCCACGAGCCCAUAAGACCAGGGACUAUCCCCGCAACUCGGUACUGUGCCCGGUUCACAGCAAAUGCUCGCUGGGUAUCUGCUGACAAGUUGUUCCUUUAAAGGGAGGCAGAGGUUGAGUCCACUGGAUUUGGAAUCAGGUCGCUACCAGCAGAGAGACAGGUCUGGAAGCUGGACUGGAGAGGGUGGGGAAAUAGAAGGGGAAGACAUGGAGAGGCAUCGUGGAGAGGCAAUGACUCUUUCUGGAAACCUGAAAAGGAAGGAAGGACAGAGGAGGAACACAAAGUAAAGAGGGCUUUCACUUUUAAGGUGAGAGAGACCUGAACAAAAUUACAUGUGUGAGAGGAGGAUCCAGUAAGAAGUGAGAAAAGAAGUAAAGGGAGAUAGUUCCUAGGGAGGCGGGACAAGACCGCAUCCAGAACCUGGGAGAAAAGUGACCUUGGAUGCGAGAGGCACAGAAAGCAUAGUGAGGGAAGCCGGGAUGGAUGGGGAGGCAGGUAACUUCAUACACUGGAGGCUGGGAAGUCCAGAGUUCUUGACUGCUGACCACCUUUAUUCUCCCUGUGGAGUAGGGUGUGAGACUUCGGCUUAGGACAGGGAUGGAGGUGUAGUGGAACUGAAGACGGUGGUGAGUAGGCUCCAAGAGGAACGACGGCCAGGGACAGGACACAGGGGUGGUAAGUGGCAUCAAGAUGCUGGUAAGGUGGGGCACCUGGGUGGCUCAGUCAGUUAAGCAGCCAACUUCGGCUCAGGUCAUGAUCUCACAGUUCGUGAGUUCGAGCUCUGCAUCGGGCUCUACACAGACAGCGUGGAGCCUGCUUGGGAUUCUCUCUCUCCCUCCCUCCCUCUCGGCCCCUCCCCACUUGUACUCUCUCAAAACAAAUAAACAAACUUUUAAAAAAAGAUGCUGGUAAGGUAACACCACUAUCUCAGCUCAAGUUUCUCUCUCCAUGGGGACUCCCUGGCAGUGGACUGGCUGGACAAGACAGUCGUGGGGAGGGGGAGUUGUCAGGCCAGGGAGACAGCACAUGAAGCCUGGGGCUCCGUGUGAUUUUGGUAAUUGAUUGGAAUUGGCCGAAUGAAUGAAUGAAUGAAUGAAUGAGAGGUGUUACAUGUUACGGUUACACAAGAUACCUCUGGCUCCAAACGCGACCCUCCCACUUACUGUUACUUGUCGCCUGGCCUUGUAGGGUUGUUGACAUGUCUGGCUGAUGCACUGCUUGUAAAUCGUGUGGCCCAGAGCCUGGCACGUGGAAGAGCUCAGUAAACGGCAGCUCUUAUCAUUCUCAUGGGCCGUGACAGGUGGGAGCUGAUCGACAGAGGAUUCUACGCAGCAGGGUGAUGUGGCUGAGCUUAUUUCUUAGGAAGACCCCUGAAGCAGUCAGAGCUGGGUAUGACUUCAGUUCUCCCACUCAGCUAGCUGUAUGAGCUGGAGCAAGCAACUCAUCCUCCCUGUGCCUCAGUUUCCCAAUCCCCCAAAUGGGGGUAGUAACAGAACUGAUCUAGUAGGAUUGUUACGAGAAUAAAUUCAAAGGAGGCUGGCAAACUGGAGAGCGUAACACGUGACAGCUGUGACGAGGGUGGCGGAAGCCGGAGGAGGCAGAGGAAGAGGAGAAAGGAGGACGAGGAGAGAGGCAGGAAGAGGGGAGAAGAGAAGGUGGCACAGUGAUCAUACUGAUUAUGAGGCUCAGUAACCAAGAGGUCACUGAUGACAGUGACGAGAGGAGCAGGGGGUGAGACGGCAUGAACCCCAAUCCCUCAGCACUUUCUGUCUGUGUGCGGAGGAGUAGCAGUUAGCAUGUGGCCGAGGGGUUGAGCAUGGAGGCCUCCUGGCCCUCAGGGCAGAAGAGGAAUGAGCCACCAGAGCUGGCUGCAGAGGAAACAGUGUCCCAGGAGAGCUUGUCUCUGAGGCCUGGUGGGGAGAUGGUUGCUGGUUCAGCAGAAGCCUAGUCACAGCAGGAGGAAGCCACGCUGCAUGCCAGCCUCAGCACCCUUUCCAGGUGCCCUGUGCGGAGUCGCCCCUGACGUGAGGUGAUGUCCACACUGAGCUCCUAAGGCUCGGCAUCCCUCCCAGGUCUGGAACAGCAUACAGGCUUAGGUGCAGAUGGACAUUCAGUCCCCAUCUCGGGCCCGGUCCAAUACGGCCUCAUAGGCAGGGACCUGGUGGCCCUGUUUGCCCUGUGGAUUUCCUAGACUAUUAGCCCACCCCUGCUGUCUCUCCCAGGAGGCCCUGCGUCUCCUGCCUCAAGGCCUGGCCUCUGACCCCUGCUUUAGGUCUUCUCCUAGGUCAGACCCUAUAGCCUAGACAGACAAUGCUUCAUUCCCUAGUGCAACUGGGCUUUUCUACUGGCACCAAUAAUAGAUAGAUAGAUAGAUAGAUAGAUAGAUAGAUAGAUAGAUAGAAGUAGCAUUAAUCAUUGCUACAGAUAGCACUUGCUAAGUGUCGAGCACCAGGUCAGGUGCUUCUAUAUUUCAUCUGGUUUAAUAUUUAAAACAACCCUGAACAAUGGGAAGGAUUACUCCUGUUUUACGGAUAAGACUAAAUCUAAGGGGCCUGGGUAAUUUGCCUAAGGUAACCCAGCUAAUCCUUUGCCUAAGGAUCUAAAUUUAAACCCAAGUCUAUAUGACUCCAAGGCCUGAUCUGCUUUCCCCUCUUAAGCCAUGUUGUCUUCCCAAAUUCUGGAGCCCAGUCCUCUCUUGUGCAUGAAUGCGGGACCCUGGCUGGCCUUAGGGCCCUCCCUCCUUCCCCAAGGCCUGAGCUACAGCUGGGAGGUUGGGGCUGUGUCCAGGCUGUCCAGGGGCCAACCCCCUAGCCCGUCCUCUGUCCCCCUGCUGGGCUGGAACCACACCCAUUCCGGCCCAACCUAGGUCUCAGGGCCUCGCUGAACUGACAAUCAGUCAGAGGCCCCGCAGCAAUGAGGCCAGCUUUCCAGUUUCAGGACUGAGGAGGGGGACGGGGAGGAGGUGGCCAAGGGGAUUAGGAAGGCAGUUCCUUUCUGGGUUACCGGGCAUUCUGGGGCAUGGGAAGGGGAGGCUGGUGGA